ACACGGGGGGCGCAAGCGUUAUUCGGAAUUAUUGGGCGUAAAGGGCGUGUAGGCGGUUUUAUCGGUCAGAUGUGAAAGCCCAGGGCUCAACCCUGGACGUGCAUUUGAAACAGUAAGACUUGAGUACGGUAGAGGAAAGCGGAAUUCCUGGUGUAGAGGUGAAAUUCGUAGAUAUCAGGAGGAACACCGAUGGCGAAGGCAGCUUUCUGGACCGAAACUGACGCUGAUGCGCGAAGGCGUGGGUAGCGAACAGGAUUAGAAACCCCUGUAGUCC
RNAcentral lists this ribosomal RNA (274 nucleotides) under uncultured bacterium. RNAcentral describes it as "partial 16S ribosomal RNA". It matches the Rfam family "Bacterial small subunit ribosomal RNA", at positions 523 to 796 of the family's 1533-position model. The record is from RNAcentral.